Non-coding RNA from Gymnopus androsaceus JB14, 83 nucleotides. NCBI's taxonomy places the organism in Eukaryota, Fungi, Basidiomycota, Agaricomycetes, Agaricales, Omphalotaceae. The record is from the annotation of a GenBank genome assembly.
GCCCCCGUUGUCUAAUGGUUAUGACGUCAGACUUCUACUUUCGAGCAAUCUGGACGUUGCGGGUUCGAGUCCCGCCGGGGGUU